GGUCCCAAGGGUUGGGCUGUUCGCCCAUUAAAGCGGUACGCGAGCUGGGUUCAGAACGUCGUGAGACAGUUCGGUCCCUAUCCGUCGCGGGCGCAGGAAAUUUGAGAGGAGCUGUCCUUAGUACGAGAGGACCGGGAUGGACGCACCGCUGGUGUACCAGUUGUUCUGCCAAGGGCAUCGCUGGGUAGCUAUGUGCGGACGGGAUAAGUGCUGAAAGCAUCUAAGCAUGAAGCCCCCCUCAAGAUGAGAUUUCCCAUUCCGCAAGGAAGUAAGAUCCCUGAAAGAUGAUCAGGUUGAUAGGUCUGAGGUGGAAGUGUGGCGACACAUGGAGCUGACAGAUACUAAUCGAUCGAGGACUUAACCACAUUU
This 369-nucleotide ribosomal RNA is filed under the name Lysinibacillus sphaericus. Its description in RNAcentral is "partial 23S ribosomal RNA". It matches the Rfam family "Bacterial large subunit ribosomal RNA", at positions 2561 to 2925 of the family's 2925-position model. RNAcentral also lists the same sequence under 1 other name. The record is from RNAcentral. Lineage: Bacteria; Bacillati; Bacillota; Bacilli; Caryophanales; Bacillaceae.